This 73-nucleotide transfer RNA is filed under the name Marmota monax (woodchuck). RNAcentral describes it as "tRNA.Ser". It matches the Rfam family "tRNA". Rfam says of the family: Transfer RNA (tRNA) molecules are approximately 80 nucleotides in length. The record is from RNAcentral. Lineage: Eukaryota; Metazoa; Chordata; Mammalia; Rodentia; Sciuridae.
UGUGGUUGUAACUCAGUGGUAGAGUACCUGCCUAGAAUGUAUGAGGCACUGGGUUCAAUUCUCAGCACUGCAA